This 229-nucleotide ribosomal RNA is filed under the name uncultured bacterium. RNAcentral's name for it is "partial 16S ribosomal RNA". It matches the Rfam family "Bacterial small subunit ribosomal RNA", at positions 15 to 235 of the family's 1533-position model. The record is from RNAcentral.
GAUCCUGGCUCAGGACGAACGCUGGCGGCGCGCCUAACACAUGCAAGUCGAGGGGCAGCAUGGUCUUAGCUUGCUAAGGCCGAUGGCGACCGGCGCACGGGUGAGUAACACGUAUCCAACCUGCCGUCUACUCUUGGACAGCCUUCUGAAAGGAAGAUUAAUACAAGAUGGCAUCAUGAGUCCGCAUGUUCACAUGAUUAAAGGUAUUCCGGUAGACGAUGGGGAUGCG